AGGGAGUAUCUGCCUGGAGUUUCUACCCCUAAUCAGCUGUCCAACCCUCAUCAUCCAUGGAGAGAAAGACCCCAUUGUGACCAUCCAGCACUCACAGUGUCUCCUCAAAAACAUCAAGGGAUCACGAUUACACCUGAUGCCAGAGUGUGAUCACUUUCUCCACCAGCAGAACGCUGAUGAAUUCAACAAACUGGUGGAAGACUUUCUGGAAGACUGAUUGAUUAACUAACACUGUGAAAUACGUGCAGGCCCUGCUGGCUCUCCUCUCCACCUCCAGCCAGACUGCCAGCAAGGAUGUUCCGUGUGCAAUUUCCUAUAUCUGUAUUUUCUGACUUCUGUCUUUGGGUUAGCAACUUGUCUUUUGUUUUCUUAUUUGAGUAGAUAAGUUAAGGUUGUGAGCUAGCCACUGGGGAAGAAUAACAAUUAUUAGCAUCUUCAGAGAGUUACUGGUAACUGAAGCGCAUAAAGGUUGUCACCUCAAGCUCAUUUAUUGUGGGAUGCCGUGAAAGUUGUGUCAUGAAAAAUAAAAGACUAAAGCUCC
This is a long non-coding RNA of Sebastes umbrosus (honeycomb rockfish), 541 nucleotides long. RefSeq lists it as uncharacterized. NCBI's taxonomy places the organism in Eukaryota, Metazoa, Chordata, Actinopteri, Perciformes, Sebastidae. The transcript has 2 exons. The record is from RefSeq and is a predicted model, not a curated record.